Molecule: ribosomal RNA, 254 nt
Filed under: uncultured bacterium
Lineage: Bacteria
Description: partial 16S ribosomal RNA
Rfam family: Bacterial small subunit ribosomal RNA
Source: RNAcentral
CACGUAGGGUGCGAGCGUUGUCCGGAAUUAUUGGGCGUAAAGAGCUCGUAGGCGGUGUGUCGCGUCGGCCGUGAAAACUUGCAGCUUAACUGUGGGCGUGCGGUCGAUACGGGCAUCACUGGAGUUCGGCAGGGGAGACUGGAAUUCCUGGUGUAGCGGUGAAAUGCGCAGAUAUCAGGAGGAACACCGGUGGCGAAGGCGGGUCUCUGGGCCGAUACUGACGCUGAGGAGCGAAAGCGUGGGGAGCAAACAGG